RNAcentral lists this non-coding RNA (955 nucleotides) under Spilogale pygmaea. RNAcentral describes it as "12S ribosomal RNA". It matches the Rfam family "Bacterial small subunit ribosomal RNA". Lineage: Eukaryota; Metazoa; Chordata; Mammalia; Carnivora; Mephitidae. The record is from RNAcentral.
CAAAGGUUUGGUCCUAGCCUUCCUAUUAGCCCUUAACAAAUUUACACAUGCAAGUCUCCACCAACCAGUGAGAAUGCCCUCCAAAUCAUUAACCUGACAAAGAGGAGCGGGUAUCAAGCACACCAAUAGGUAGCUCAUAACACCUUGCUAAGCCACACCCCCACGGGAUACAGCAGUGACAAAAAUUAAGCAAUAAACGAAAGUUUGACUAAGUUAUGUUAACAAAGGGUUGGUAAAUUUCGUGCCAGCCACCGCGGUCAUACGAUUAACCCCAGUUAAUAGGCUAACGGCGUAAAACGUGUUAAAAAAUUAACCUAACUAAAGUUAAAAUUUAACCAAGCUGUAAAAAGCCACCGUUAAUAUAAAAUAAACCACGAAAGUGACUUUAAUAACCUUGAUUACACGAUAGCUAAGACCCAAACUGGGAUUAGAUACCCCACUAUGCUUAGCCAUAAACACAAACAAUUAAUACAACAAAAUUGUUCGCCAGAGAACUACUAGCAAUAGCCUGAAACUCAAAGGACUUGGCGGUGCUUUAUAUCCCUCUAGAGGAGCCUGUUCUAUAAUCGAUAAACCCCGAUAAACCUCACCGUUCCUGGCUAAUACAGUCUAUAUACCGCCAUCUUCAGCAAACCCUUAAAAGGAAUACAAGUAAGCACAAGCAUAAGACAUAAAAAAGUUAGGUCAAGGUGUAACCUAUGGAACGGAAAGAAAUGGGCUACAUUUUCUUCAACAAGAAUACCUACGAAAGACUUUAUGAAAUUAAAGACCAAAGGAGGAUUUAGCAGUAAACUAAGAAUAGAGAGCUUAAUUGAAAAGGGCCAUGAAGCACGCACACACCGCCCGUCACCCUCCUCAAGUAAUCAUAUUAGAACAUAACAUAUUAACCCUUAUAGUACACAAGAGGAGACAAGUCGUAACAAGGUAAGCGUACUGGAAAGUGUGCUUGGAUAAA